This is a long non-coding RNA of Mytilus californianus (California mussel), 7779 nucleotides long. RefSeq lists it as uncharacterized. The record is from RefSeq and is a predicted model, not a curated record. The transcript has 3 exons. NCBI's taxonomy places the organism in Eukaryota, Metazoa, Mollusca, Bivalvia, Mytilida, Mytilidae.
GGGUUGCUUCCCCUGAAUUGGUAAUUUUAAGGAAAUUUUGCUGUUUUUAUACGACCGCAAAAAUUGAAAAUUUUUUGGUCGUAUAUUGGUAUGACGUUGGCGUCGUCGUCGUCGUCGUCGUCGUCGUCGUCGUCGUCGUCGUCGUCGUCCGGCGUCGUCCGAAGACACAUUGGUUUUCGCACUCUAACUUUAGUUCAAGUGAAUGGAUCUCCAUGACAUUUUACCAUAAGGUUCAAUACCACGAAAGGAAGGUUGGGAUUGAUUUUGGGGGGUAUGGUACCAACAGUUAAGGAAUUAGGGGCCAAAAAGGGGCCAAAAAUAAGCAUUUUUGUAACUUCCAGACAAUAACUUGUGUGUAAGUGUAUGGAUCUCUCUGACAUUGUACCACAAGGUUCCAUAUCACAAAGGGAAGGCUGUAAUUGAUUUUGGGGGUAAUUGUCUCAAAAUUUUAGGAAUUAGGGGCCAAAAAAGGGGCAAAAAACAAGCAUUUUUCUAGUUUCAUGACAAUAACUUGUGUGUAAGUGUUUGGAUAUUUCUGAAAUUGUACUACAAGGUUCCAUAUCACAAAGGGAAAGCUGGAAUUGAGUUUGUGGGUAAUUGCCCGAAACGUUUAGGAAUAGGGGGCCAAAAAGGGGCCAAAAAUAAGCAUUUUUCUAGUUUCCAGACAAUAACUUGUGUUCAAGUGUAUGGAUCUCUCUGAAAUUGUACUGCAAGGUACCAUACCACAAUGGGAAGGCUGGGAUUGAGUUUGGGGGUGAUGAAUCAUAAGGGGGUUCAAAAAAUUUGGGGGGGGGAUUUUUUUUUUUUCUUUUUUUUUCUUUUUUUCCUUUUUUUUUUUCUUUUAAUAUUUUCCAUUUUAAGUUGGUUAUUUCUGAUUAAUAUUUAAAAGCAAAUAAUAAUGAUAUGGUAGGAGAUACACACCAAACAGGAUGUGUAAAUUAUUAUAUAAUAAGUAUUGUGCAAUAGCAAGAAAUUUUCAAUUGCACAGUAUUGCACAAUUGCAAGAAAUCUUCAAUUGCACAGUAUUGCGCAAUAGCAAGAAAUCUUCAAUUGCACAGUAUUGCGCAAUAGCAAGAAAUAUCCAAUAGCACAAUAUUGCGCAAUAGCAAGAAAUUGUCAAUUGUACAGUAUUGCACAAUAGCAAGAAAUAUUCAAUUGCACAGUAUUGUGCAAAAGAAGAUACUUCGUAUAAAUUGCUUAUUUCUUGAUCAAUUUCAAUGGGGUUUUAUUCUUGAAUUCUUGGGGUUCUUUAAUAUGCUGAAUCUAACCAAGUAUUAAGUUUUUGGAUUUUGGGCCCCGUUUUUAAAUUGGUCCACAUUGAGGUCCAAAGGGUCCAAAAUUUAACUUUGUUUGAUUUCAUCAAAAAUUGAACUAUUGGGGUUCUUUGAUAUGCCGAAUCUAACCGUGUAUUUAGAUUCUUAAUUUUUGGUUCCGUUUUCAAAUUGGUCUACAUUAAGGUCAAAAGGGUCCAAAAUUAAACUUAGUUUGAUUUUAACAAAAAUUGAAUUUUUAGGGUUCUUUGAUAUGCUGCAUCUAAACAUGUAUUUAGAUUUUUGAUUAUGGGCCCAGUUUUCAAGUUGGUCCAAAUCGGGGUCCAAAAUUAAACUUUGUUUGAUUUCAACAAAAAUUGAAUAUAUGGGGUUCUUUGAUAUGCUGAAUCUAACCAUGUAUUUAGAUUUUUGAUUUUUGGGCCCCAUUAUCAACUUUGUCCACAUUGAGGUCAAAAGGGUCCAAAAUUAAACUUUCUUUGAUUUCAUCAAAAAUUGAAUUCUUGGGGUUCUUUGAUAUGCUGAAUCUAACCAUGUAUUUAGAUUUUUUAUUUGUGGACCCGCUAUCAAAUUGGUUCAUAUUGAGGUCAAAAGGGUCCAAAAUUAAACUUUGUUUGAUUUCAUCAAAAAUUGAAUUAUUGGGGUUCUUUGAUAUGCCAAAUCUAACCGUGUAUUUAGAUUUUUAAUUUUGGGUCCCGUUUUUAAAUUGGUCUACAUUAAGGUCCAAAGGGUCCAAAAUUAAACUUAGUUUGAUUUUAACAAAAAUUGAAUUCUUGGGGUUCUUUGAUAUGCUGAAUCUAAACAUGUGUUUAGAUUUUUGAUUAUGGGCCCAGUUUUCAAGUUGGGGUCCAAAAUUAAACUUUGUUUGAUUUCAACAAAAAUUGAAUAUAUGGGGUUCUUUGAUAUGCUGAAUCUAAACAUGUAUUUAGAUUUUAGAUUUUUGGCCCAGUUUUCAAGUUGGUCCAAAUUGGGGUCCAAAAUUAAACUUUGUUUGAUUUCAACAAAAAUUGAAUAUAUGGGGUUCUUUGAUAUGCUGAAUCUUACCAUGUAUUUAGAUUUUUUAUUUGUGGGCCCGCUAUCAAAUUGGUUCAUAUUGAGGUCAAAAGGGUCCAAAAUUAAACUUUGUUUGAUUUCAUCAAAAAUUUAAUUAUUGGGGUUCUUUGAUAUGCCAAAUCUAACCGUGUAUUUAGAUUUUUAAUUUUGGGUCCCGUUUUUUAAAUUGGUCUACAUUAAGGUCCAAAGGGUCCAAAAUUAAACUUAGUUUGAUUUUAACAAAAAUUGAAUUUUUGGGGUUCUUUGAUAUGCUGAAUCUAAACAUGUGUUUAGAUUUUUGAUUAUGGGACCAGUUUUCAAGUUGGUCCAAGUUGGGGUCCAAAAUUAAACUUUGUUUGAUUUCAACAAAAAUUGAAUAUAUGGGGUUCUUUGAUAUGCUGAAUCUAAACAUGUAUUUAGAUUUUAGAUUUUUGGCCCAGUUUUCAAGUUGGUCCAAAUUGGGGUCCAAAAUUAAACUUUGUUUGAUUUCAAAAAAAAUUGAAUAUAUGGGGUUCUUUGAUAUGCUGAAUCUUACCAUGUAUUUAGAUUUUUUAUUUUGUGGGCCCGCUAUCAAAUUGGUUCAUAUUGAGGUCAAAAGGGUCCAAAAUUAAACUUUGUUUGAUUUCAUCAAAAAUUGAAUUAUUGGGGUUCUUUGAUAUGCCAAAUCUAACCGUGUUUUUAGAUUUUUAAUUUUGGGUUCCGUUUUUUAAAUUGGUCUACAUUAAGGUCCAAAGGGUCCAAAAUUAAACUUAGUUUGAUUUUAACAAAAAUUGAAAACUUGGGGUACUUUGAUAUGCUGAAUCUAAACAUGUGUUUAGAUUUUUGAUUAUGGGACCAGUUUUCAAGUUGGUCCAAGUUGGGGUCCAAAAUUAAACUUUGUUUGAUUUCAACAAAAUUUGAAUAUAUGGGGUUCUUUGAUAUGCUGAAUCUAACCAUGUAUUUUGAUUUUGGGCAUUGGACCAUAAUAGGUAAAUUAAAAAAAUUGAAGUUCUUAGACCACAUUCUUUCUGUGUCAGAAACCUAUGCUGUGUCAAAUAUUUAAUCACAAUCCAAAUUCAGAGCUGUAUCAAGCUUGAAUGUUGUGUCCAUACUUGCCCCAACUGUUCAGGGUUCGACCUCUGCGGUCGUAUCAAGCUGCGCCCAGCGAAGCAUUUUAUUGGUUAUUAUCUUGAACAUUAUUAUAGAUUCUUAAGGAGUUAUUGCCCUUUAUAGUCAAUUUUUAACCAUUUUUCGUAAAUUUUUGUAAUCUUUUACAAAAAUCUUCUCCUCUGAAACUACUAAGACAAAUUUAACCAAACUUGUCCACAAUCAUCAUUAGGGUAUCUAGUUUAAAAAAUGUGUCCGAUGACCCCGCCCGUGAACCAAGAUGGCCGACAUGGCUAAAAAAUAGUACAUAAGGUAAAAUGCAGUUUUUGGCUCAUAUCUCUGAAACCAAAGCAUUUAGAGCAAAUCUGAUGAGGAUAAAAUUGUUUAUCAGGUCAAGAUCUAUCUGCCCUGAAAUUUUCAGAUGAAUCGGACAAUCCGUUGUUGGGUUGCUUCCCCUGAAUUGGUAAUUUUAAGGAAAUUUUGCUGUUUUUGGUUAUUAUCUUGAACAUUAUUAUAGAUUCUUAAGGAGUUAUUGCCCUUUAUAGUCAAUUUUUAACCAUUUUUCGUAAAUUUUUGUAAUCUUUUACAAAAAUCUUCUCCUCUGGAACUACUAAGACAAAUUUAACCAAACUUGUCCACAAUCAUCAUUAGGGUAUCUAGUUUAAAAAAUGUGUCCGAUGACCCCGCCCGUGAACCAAGAUGGCCGACAUGGCUAAAAAAUAGUACAUAAGGUAAAAUGCAGUUUUUGGCUCAUAUCUCUGAAACCAAAGCAUUUAGAGCAAAUCUGAUGAGAAUAAAAUUGUUAAUUAGGUCAAGAUCUAUCUGCCCUGAAAUUUUCAGACCAAUCAGGCAACCCGUUGUUGGGUUGCUGCCCCUGAAUUGGUAAUUUUAAGAAAAUUUUGCAGCUUUUGGUUAUUAUCUUGAAUAUUGUUAUAGAUAGAGAUAAACUGUUAACAGCAAUAAUGUACAGCAAAGUUAGAUCUACAAAUAAGGCAACAUGACCAAAAUUGUCAAUUGACCCCUUAAGGAGUUAUUGCCCUUUAUAGUCAAUUUUUAUACGACCGCAAAAAAAUUUUUGUGGUCGUAUAUUGGUAUGACGUUGGCGUCGUUGUCGUCGUCGUCGACGUCCGGCGUCGUCCGAAGACACAUUGGUUUUCGCACUCUAACUUUAGUUUAAGUGAAUGGAUCUCUAUGAAAUUUUACCACAAGGUUCAAUACCACAAAAGGAAGGUUGGGAUUGAUUUUGGGGGUUAUGGUACCAACAGUAAAGGAAUUAGGGGCCAAAAAGGGGCCAAAAAUAAGCAUUUUUAUACGACCGCAAAAAUUGAAAAUUUUUUGGUCGUAUAUUGGUAUGACGUUGGCGUCGUCGUCGUUGUCGUCGUCGUCGUUGUCGUCGUCGUCGUCGUUGUCGUCGUCGUCGUCGUCGUCGUCGUCGUCCGGCGUCGUCCGAAGACACAUUGGUUUUCGCACUCUAACUUUAGUUUAAGUGAAUGGAUCUCCAUGAAAUUUUACCAUAAGGUUCAAUACCACGAAAGGAAGGUUGGGAUUGAUUUUGGGGGUUAUGGUACCAAUAGUUAAGGAAUUAGGGGCCAAAAAGGGGCCAAAAAUAAGCAUUUUGUAACUUCCAGACAAUAACUUGUGUGUAAGUGUAUGGAUCUCUCUGACAUUGUACCACAAUGUUCCAUAUCACAAAGGGAAGGCUGUAAUUGAUUAUGGGGGUAAUUGCCUCAAAAUUUUAGGAAUUAGGGGCCAAAAAAGGGGCAAAAAACAAGCAUUUUUCUAGUUUCAUGACAAUAACUUGAGUGUAAGUGUUUGGAUAUUUCUGAAAUUGUACUACAAGGUUCCAUAUCACAAAGGGAAAGCUGGAAUUGAGUUUGGGGGUAAUUGCCCUAAACGUAUAGGAAUUGGGGGCCAAAAAGGGGCCAAAAAUAAGCAUUUUUCUAGUUUCCAGACAAUAACUUGUGUUCAAGUGUAUGGAUCUCUCUGAAAUUGUACUGCAAGGUACCAUACCACAAAGGGAAGGCUGGGAUUGAGUUUGGGGGUGAUGAAUCAUAAGGGGGUUCAAAAAAUUUGGGGGGGGGAUUUUUUUUUUCUUUUUUUUUCUUUUAAAAUUUUCCAUUUUAAGUUGGUUAUUUCUGAUUUAUAUUUAAAAGCAAAUAAUAAUGAUAUGGUAGGAGAUACACACCAAACAGGAUGUGUAAAUUAUUAUAUAAUAAGUAUUGUGCAAUAGCAAGAAAUUUUCAAUUCCACAGUAUUGCACAAUAGCAAGAAAUCUUCAAUUGCACAGUAUUGCGCAAUAGCAAGAAAUCUUCAAUUGCACAGUAUUGCGCAAUAGCAAGAAAUAUCCAAUAGCACAAUAUUGCGCAAUAGCAAGAAAUUGUCAAUUGUACAGUAUUGCGCAAUAGCAAGAAAUAUUCAAUUGCACAGUAUUGUGCAAAAGAAGAUACUUCGUAUAAAUUGCUUAUUUCUUGAUCAAUUUCAAUGGGGUUUUAUUCUUGAAUUCUUGGGGUUCUUUAAUAUGCUGAAUCUUACCAUGUAUUAAGUUUUUGGAUUUUGGGCCCCGUUUUUAAAUUGGUCCACAUUGAGGUCCAAAGGGUCCAAAAUUUAACUUUGUUUGAUUUCAUCAAAAAUUGAAUUAUUGGGGUUCUUUGAUAUGCCGAAUCUAAUCGUGUAUUUAGAUUCUUAAUUUUUGGUUCCGUUUUCAAAUUGGUCUACAUUAAGGUCCAAAGGGUCCAAAAUUAAACUUAGUUUGAUUUUAACAAAAAUUGAAUUUUUAGGGUUCUUUGAUAUGCUGAAUCUAAACAUGUUUUUAGAUUUUUGAUUAUGGGCCCAGUUUUCAAGUUGGUCCAAAUCGGGGUUCAAAAUUAAACUUUGUUUGAUUUCAACAAAAAUUGAAUAUAUGGGGUUCUUUGAUAUGCUGAAUCUAACCAUGUAUUUAGAUUUUUGAUUUUUGGGUCCCGUUAUCAACUUUGUCCACAUUGAGGUCAAAAGGGUCCAAAAUUAAACUUUGUUUGAUUUCAUCAAAAAUUGAAUUCUUGGGGUUCUUUGAUAUGCUGAAUCUAACCAUGUAUUUAGAUUUUGGAUAUUGGACCAUAAUAGGUGAAUGUCCAAUUUAAAAUUUUUAAGUUCUUAGACCACAUUCAUUCUGUGUCAGAAACCUAUGCUGUGUCAAAUAUUUAAUCACAAUCCAAAUUCAGAGCUGUAUCAAGCUUGAAUGUUGUGUCCAUACUUGCCCCAACUGUUCAGGGUUCGACCUCUGCGGUCGUAUCAAGCUGCGCCCUGCGGAGCAUUUUAUUGUAACUUCCAGACAUAACUUGUGUGUUAGUGUAUGGAUCUCUCUGACAUUGUACCACAAGGUUCCAUAUCACAAAAGGAAUGCUGGGAUUGAUUUUGGGGGUAAUUGCCUCAAAAUUUUAGGAAUUAGGGGCCAAAAAAGGGGCAAAAAACAAGCAUUUUUCUAGUUUCAUGACAAUAACUUGUGUGUAAGUGUAUGGAUCUUUCUGAAAUUGUACUACAAGGUUCCAUAUCACAAAGGGAAAGCUGGAAUUGAGUUUGGGGGUAAUUGCCCAAAACGUUUAGGAAUAAGGGGCCAAAAAGGGGCCAAAAAACACAUUUUUCUAGUUUCCAGACAAUAACUUGUGUUCAAGUGUAUGGAUCUCUCUGAAAUUGUACCACAAGGUUCCAUAUCACACAGGGAAGGCUGGGAUUGAGUUUGGGGGUAAUUGCCUCAAAAUUUUAGGAAUUAGGGGCCAAAAAAGGGGCAAAAAACAAGCAUUUUUCUAGUUUCAUGACAAUAACUUGUGUGUAAGUGUAUGGAUCUUUCUGAAAUUGUACUUCAAGGUUCCAUAUCACAAAGGGAAAGCUGGAAUUGAGUUUGGGGGUAAUUGCCGAAACGUUUAGGAAUUGGGGGCCAAAAAGGGGCCAAAAAUAAGCAUUUUUCUUGUUUCCAGACAAUAACUUGUGUUCAAGUGUAUGGAUCUCUCUGAAAUUGUACUGCAAGGUACCAUACUACAAAGGAAAGGCUGGCAUUGAUGAUGGGGGUAAUUGCCUCAAAAUUUUAGGAAUUAGGGGCCAAAAAGGGGCAAAAAUCAAGCAUUUUUCUAGUUUCAGGAAAAUAGCUUGUGUGGAAGUGUAUGGAUCUUUCUGAAAUUGUACUACAAGGUUCCAUAUCACAAAGGGAAAGCUGGGUUUGAGUUUGGGGGUAAUUUCCCUAAACGUUUAGGAAUUUGGGGCCAAAAAGGGGCCAAAAAACACAUUUUUCUAGUUUCCAGACAAUAACUUGUGUUCAAGUGAAUGGAUCUCUCUGAAAUUGUACUGCAAGGUACCAUACCACAAAGGGAAGGCUGGGAUUGAAUUUGGGGGUGAUGAAUCAUAAGGGGGUUCAAAAAAUUUG